UCUCGAAGAUUAAGCCAUGCAUGUAAAGUUCAAGCUCCGAUUAUGAGGGCGAAACCGCGAAUGGCUCAUUAAAUCAGUCGUAAUCUACUUGAUUGUUUAAAGUUUAUAUGGAUAACUGUGGUAAUUCUAGAGCUAAUACAUGCACAAAGGGGGCGACUCUGCGUUUACGCGUGGAGAAGCUCUGCGUUUAUUAGACUAAGACCAAUGGGGAUCUUCGGAUCCUCUUUAAUUAUGGUGACUCUGAGUAAAUAAUGGGUGAAAGCCCAUGUUGCUGACCUGACAUACCAAAAGGCGCCCUAAAAAGCGUCUGUCAGGCAAAUCAAUCGAGUGUCUGCUCUAUCAACUGUGGAUGGUAGGGUAAUUGCCUACCAUGGUGAUGACGGGUAACGGGGAGUUAGGGCUCGACUCCGGAGAACAAGCCUGAGAAACGGCUAGUAGGACUAAGGUCUGCAGCAGGCGCGAAACUUACACAAUGCUAGAUUUUCAUUAGCGAUGUAGUGAAGAAAAAUAACGAUGUGCUUCCGUUUAAACAUGGUAGCACAAUUGGAAUGAGACGACUCUAAACCAGUCAGUCGAGUAACAAAUGGAGGGCAAGUCUGGUGCCAGCAGCCGCGGUAAUUCCAGCUCCAUUAGCAUACAUUAAAGUUGUUGCGGUUAAAAAGCUCGUAGUUGAAUUUGAGGCGGGCUCUAUUGGGAUGCAACCGUAAAGGUUUGCCAUAGCUUCGGCUUGGUUUAAACUGGUUGUAUUUUCCCUAUAGGAACCCGUUGUUUCGUCACUUAUUCGAGUGCGAAGCGGGCCGGUGGAAGCGUAUCUUCGGAUAUUUUCAGCGGCAAGUUUACCUUGAGAAAAUUAGAGUGCUCACAGCAGGCAGUUGGGGUGUAAAAACCUCUUUAUGCUUGAAUAAUGUUGCAUGGAAUAAUAGAAUACGACCGCGGUUUUAUUCUGUUGGUCUUAUAGAACAACAAAUAAGUUGAUUGGGGCGACAAACGGUCCUCCUUGGGCGUGGUUUGGCUUAGCUAGUUGUCUAGAUUGUUGUCUGGGGCCUUAAAAUCUCAGUACCCUUCUAACUCUUAGUUAACCACUCCAUCAAAGCGCCCUUGGCUGGGCUAGCCUUCUAAUCAACUGCGGUAAUGGUUAAAAGAAAUAGUCGCGGCGGCAUCAGUACUGCAUUGUGAGAGGUGAAAUUCUUAGACCAAUGCAAGACUAACUGAAGCGAAAGCGUUUGCCGAGGAUAUUUUCAUUAAUCAAGAACGAAAGUCAGAGGUUCGAAGGCGAUCAGAUACCGCCCUAGUUCUGACCAUAAACGUUGCCAACUAGCAAUUGGGUUGCGAUUCCUUUAAUCAGGGCGUAAAAAACCCUGAUCAUUAUGAUCCACCCAGCGGCUCUCGUAGGGAAACCAAAGUGUUUGGGUUCCGGGGGAAGUAUGAUUGCAAAAUUUAAACUUAAAGGAAUUGACGGAAGGGCACCACCAGGAGUGGAGCCUGCGGCUUAAUUUGACUCAACACGGGGAAACUUACUAGAUUAGAACUCUGGAAUGAUUGACAGAUUGAUAGCUCUUUCUGAUCAGAGGAUGUGGUGGUGCAUGGCCGUUCUUGAUUCGUAUUCCGAAACGUCUGCUUAAUUGCGAUAACGAGUGAGACCUCUCCCAAUUAACUAGUCGUCCGGUGCGCUGUUGGGACGCAAAAGUUCGUAUAGGGUUUCUGUUAGGUAAGUGGGCUUCGGUUUAACUGCCUGGCUACCUAUGCGGAUGUCCUCUGCUCGCCGGCGGACUUCUUAAAGGGAUCAAUGGUGUUUUAGCCAUAAGAAACGAGGCAAUAACAGGUCUGUGAUGCCCUUAGAUAUUCUAGGCCGCACGCGUGCUACAAUGGCGUGUGCAGAAAGCUUGUUCGAGGUUCGUACAGGGAGAACUAGUCGUUUAGGGUGGAUGUUUGGUAGCAAUAUUAGAUGUUCAUUCGGCGGAAAAGUGACCCUGGUUCACGGGCCGAGAGAAACCGUUGCCGAAAGGUAACGGCAAUCAAAAAUACACGCCGUGAUUUGGGAUUGGGGAUUGCAAUUGUUGCCCAUGAACGAGGAAUUCCCAGUAAGCGCAAUUCAUCAUAUUGCGUUGAUUACGUCCCUGCCCUUUGUACACACCGCCCGUCGCUACUACCGAUUGGAAGUUUUAGUGAGGCAUCUGGACCUGCCGUCCAAGGAAGGGGCAACUCUUCCAGGCUGGCGGGGAAGUUUGUCGAACUCAAAUUUCUAGAGGAAGUAAAAGUCGUAA
This 2264-nucleotide ribosomal RNA is filed under the name Tergilatus sparsus. Its description in RNAcentral is "partial 18S ribosomal RNA". It matches the Rfam family "Eukaryotic small subunit ribosomal RNA". Lineage: Eukaryota; Metazoa; Arthropoda; Arachnida; Trombidiformes; Eriophyidae. The record is from RNAcentral.